GCGGAGGGCUGGAUGACCGCGGCGGCCCAUAGCUCCGUUUUGCGGAUAGCUGGGCGGUCGAGGAAAGUCCGGACUCCCUGAAGCAACGGUGCCGGGUAACGCCCGGCGGGGGCAACCCCAGGGAAAGCGCCACAGAGAAGAGACCGCCCUCGCUUGCGGGGGCAAGGGUGAAACGGUGGGGUAAGAGCCCACCGCGGGACUGGCAACAGGACCGGCACGGCAAGCCCCACCGGGAGCAACGCCGAAUAGGGAUCGCGCGCCGCAUCCGGCAACGGAGACGGCAGGGGAGCUUCGCCCCGAGCGGUCCGGGUUGGCGGCUUGAGGCUGCGGGUGACCGCAGACCCAGAGGAAUGGUCAUCCAGGGGGGCGACCCCCGGACAGAAUCCGGCUUACAGGCCCUCCGCGCAU
This 408-nucleotide RNase P RNA is filed under the name Rhodobacter maris. Its description in RNAcentral is "Bacterial RNase P class A". It matches the Rfam family "Bacterial RNase P class A". Rfam says of the family: Ribonuclease P (RNase P) is a ubiquitous endoribonuclease, found in archaea, bacteria and eukarya as well as chloroplasts and mitochondria. Lineage: Bacteria; Pseudomonadati; Pseudomonadota; Alphaproteobacteria; Rhodobacterales. The record is from RNAcentral.